GGGGAAUUUUGGACAAUGGGGGCAACCCUGAUCCAGCAAUGCCGCGUGAGUGAAGAAGGCCUUCGGGUUGUAAAGCUCUUUUGUCAGGGAAGAAACACCGGCUCUAACACAGUCCGGGAAUGACGGUACCUGAAGAAUAAGCACCGGCUAACUACGUGCCAGCAGCCGCGGUAAUACGUAGGGUGCGAGCGUUAAUCGGAAUUACUGGGCGUAAAGCGUGCGCAGGCGGUUAUACAAGACAGGCGUGAAAUCCCCGGGCUUAACCUGGGAAUGGCGCCUGUGACUGUAUAGCUAGAGUGUGUCAGAGGGGGGUAGAAUUCCACGUGUAGCAGUGAAAUGCGUAGAUAUGUGGAGGAAUACCAAUGGCGAAGGCAGCCCCCUGGGAUAACACUGACGCUCAUGCACGAAAGCGUGGGGAGCAAAC
This 424-nucleotide ribosomal RNA is filed under the name uncultured bacterium. RNAcentral describes it as "bacterial SSU rRNA". It matches the Rfam family "Bacterial small subunit ribosomal RNA", at positions 356 to 773 of the family's 1533-position model. The record is from RNAcentral.